Molecule: ribosomal RNA, 301 nt
Filed under: uncultured bacterium
Lineage: Bacteria
Description: partial 16S ribosomal RNA
Rfam family: Bacterial small subunit ribosomal RNA
Source: RNAcentral
CAGUAGCCACGGGAAUACGUAGGUGGCAAGCGUUGUCCGGAAUUAUUGGGCGUAAAGGGUGCGUAGGCGGCGGCCAAAGUCAGGCGUGAAAUUCCUGGGCUCAACCUGGGGGCUGCGUUUGAUACUUGGUUGCUUGAGUGGGGAAGAGGGUCGUGGAAUUCCCAGUGUAGAGGUGAAAUUCGUAGAUAUUGGGAAGAACACCGGUGGCGAAGGCGGCGACCUGGUCCUUUACUGACGCUGAGGCGCGAAAGCGUGGGGAGCAAACAGGAUUAGAUACCCGCGUAGUCCCUGUCUCUUAUAA